This 395-nucleotide ribosomal RNA is filed under the name uncultured bacterium. Its description in RNAcentral is "bacterial SSU rRNA". It matches the Rfam family "Bacterial small subunit ribosomal RNA", at positions 505 to 898 of the family's 1533-position model. The record is from RNAcentral.
GUGUCAGCAGCCGCGGUAAGACGGACCAUCCAAACGUUAUUCGGAAUUACUGGGCUUAAAGGGUGCGUAGGCGGCGCGGAAAGUUCGGUGUGAAAUCCCUCAGCUUAACUGAGGAAUGGCGCUGAAAACUACCGUGCUCGAGGAAGACAGAGGUAAGCGGAACAGCGGGUGGAGCGGUGAAAUGCGUUGAUAUCCGCUGGAACACCGGUGGCGAAAGCGGCUUACUGGGUCUUUUCUGACGCUGAGGCACGAAAGCUAGGGUAGCGAACGGGAUUAGAUACCCCGGUAGUCCUAGCCGUAAACGAUGAGCACUUGACGGGAGACUCCUCCAUAGGUUUCCGGUCGUAGCGAAAGUGAUAAGUGCUCCGCCUGGGGAGUAUGGCCGCAAGGCUGAA